UUGAAAGGGAAACGAUUGAAGUCAGUCGUACCAGCGGGAAAUCAACCUUUCGAGUGGGGGUUUUGGAGUUUUGAAGAGUUUCAAAACCUUUGAGAUUUCAAAAAUUUCGCUCUUUUGGUGUACUUUCUCGUGGGUAGGUUAACAUCGAUUUUGAUCAUCAUAAAAAGAUUGGAGGAAUGUAGCUUCGAUCUUGUAUUGAAGUGUUAUAGCCUUUGGUAAAUGUGAUGAUUAGGAUCGAGGAUUGCAACGAAUACCCUUCUGGGCUAUCCGCCUGAUCUCUGAUACGUGGCCUUGGCAUCGAAAGCUUGCUUAUGGUAUCAAGGUAUUACGGUCAAAAGGUUAGAACGGAUUACAUUCGUUAAGGAUGUUGACGUA
Molecule: ribosomal RNA, 375 nt
Filed under: uncultured Glomeromycotina
Lineage: Eukaryota; Fungi; Glomeromycota
Description: LSU rRNA
Source: RNAcentral